GAUGAACGCUGGCGGCGUGCCUAAUACAUGCAAGUCGAGCGAACGGACGAGAAGCUUGCUUUUCUGAUGUUAGCGGCGGACGGGUGAGUAACACGUGGAUAACCUACCUAUAAGACUGGGAUAACUUCGGGAAACCGGAGCUAAUACCGGAUAAUAUUUUGAACCGCAUGGUUCAAAAGUGAAAGACGGUCUUGCUGUCACUUAUAGAUGGAUCCGCGCUGCAUUAGCUAGUUGGUAAGGUAACGGCUUACCAAGGCAACGAUGCAUAGCCGACCUGAGAGGGUGAUCGGCCACACUGGAACUGAGACACGGUCCAGACUCCUACGGGAGGCAGCAGUAGGGAAUCUUCCGCAAUGGGCGAAAGCCUGACGGAGCAACGCCGCGUGAGUGAUGAAGGUCUUCGGAUCGUAAAACUCUGUUAUUAGGGAAGAACAUAUGUGUAAGUAACUGUGCACAUCUUGACGGUAUCUAAUCAGAAAGCCACGGCUAACUACGUG
Molecule: ribosomal RNA, 497 nt
Filed under: uncultured bacterium
Lineage: Bacteria
Description: partial 16S ribosomal RNA
Rfam family: Bacterial small subunit ribosomal RNA
Source: RNAcentral